GCCACUAGACUAGCAGAGAUGCUUUGGUGCCUUCGGGAACUAUGAGACAGGUGCUGCAUGGCUGUCGUCAGCUCGUGUUGUGAAAUGUUGGGUUAAGUCCCGCAACGAGCGCAACCCUUAUCCUUGUUUGCCAGCGAGUAAUGUCGGGAACUCCAGGGAGACUGCCGGUGAUAAACCGGAGGAAGGUGGGGACGACGUCAAGUCAUCAUGGCCCUUACGAGUAGGGCUACACACGUGCUACAAUGGCGUAUACAGAGGGCUGCCAACCAGCGAUGGUGAGCGAAUCCCAAAAAGUACGUCGUAGUCCGGAUUGGAGUCUGCAACUCGACUCCAUGAAGUCGGAAUCGCUAGUAAUCGUGGAUCAAAAUGCCACGGUGAAUACGUUCCCGGGUCUUGUACACACCGAA
RNAcentral lists this ribosomal RNA (407 nucleotides) under uncultured bacterium. Its description in RNAcentral is "bacterial SSU rRNA". It matches the Rfam family "Bacterial small subunit ribosomal RNA", at positions 986 to 1394 of the family's 1533-position model. The record is from RNAcentral.